GGUGCAGUAGCUCAGCGGAAGAGCAGCGGCCUUAUAAGCCGGAGGGCGGAGGUUCAAAUCCUUCCUGCACCA
This 72-nucleotide transfer RNA is filed under the name Clostridiales bacterium. RNAcentral describes it as "tRNA-Ile". It matches the Rfam family "tRNA". Rfam says of the family: Transfer RNA (tRNA) molecules are approximately 80 nucleotides in length. Their secondary structure includes four short double-helical elements and three loops (D, anti-codon, and T loops). The record is from RNAcentral. RNAcentral also lists the same sequence under 1 other name. Lineage: Bacteria; Bacillati; Bacillota; Clostridia; Eubacteriales.